CUCCAAUCUAGAAGAACUUAGAAGAACUAAUUCUAAUCUCACAUUGCUUGCUAAGCCCUAAUUCUAUAUAGAGGAAAGGUUAUCAUUCGAGGGCACCUCACAACUCUAUAAUGAUGUGUCCUCCUCCAGGGGCUAGGGGCCUUGCUUAUAUAGCCUCCUCCUUUUGUGCCUUUUUGGUUCAGCAGGCGAUGUGGUACUAAAAUUUCCACCAUAUCUCAUUAAAAUGCACAUAGGCCUUAAUGGACCAAAAUCUAAUUUGGGCCCAAUUAAUUCCGUAGCUCUUUUAUGUGGAGUCUUUUUAUUAAUAUAUCUUGAUUCCGAACUCCAAAUAUAGAAAAUAAUAUAUGCAUUUCGAUCAGCUUGAUGAGAUUUUUGUAAUGGUGUACUCCACUCUGUGAUUGGUGCUUGUACCAGGGUGGGUGCCCAAGGGGGGAGGGCGGGCGCCCUGGCCCCGGGCUCGUUCGGCCUUCCGUUCGUUUCCGUGGCUUCUGGACUCUUCUAGAUGAUAGAAAAUUGCGCGGCACGUUAAUAUCUCUAUGUAAACCCGACAUAUGGGCCUUUCCUCCAUAUUUCCUGAUAACCCCCUGCAGAAAUAGACAAACACAAAACUCGUGGAAUUCUAUCAGAUAAAGCCCUAAGUCUGGGUGUUGGUUGCAUUUGGAUCCUUUUCUUUAUUUAUUUGAUGAUUAUAUUUGGUACUUAAGGACCGUAAACAACUCCCGCAAGCUUACCUCUUGCUCGUCCCUGAGCAAGGAUGGACUCAAGAGUUACUGCAGUGGUUUCAUGCCUUAAAAGUACACAUGCGUUCAAGCAAGAUCUCAUCUCUGAGUUAGAGUAAACUGUUAAGACUUAAAACUUACUCAUUUUACCUUUCACCAUGGGGCUUGCAACCGUCACUUGUGUCUUGAGCAGUUAAAAGAUAAAACGGUCAAGUCAAGCGCCAUGUCUCUUGUUCUUUGAUUAACUAUAGCUCUAGCGUUUCUGUAGAUUUUCAAAUAAAACUCAGAGAUUCCUUGUAUGACUCUCAAAUCUCUCUUUUGUGGUAUUUCUAGAUCCUUUCCAAGGCAGUAAUGGUAUAUGUCUUCUCUCAAAGUAUGUGGUAUUUUUGGUAUGAGGCAUAGUGAUAUUGCCUUCUCUCACACCCUACUCUAAUAAGAUUUUGAUAUCUGGAGCUCAUAGGUGGGAGAUAGAUAAUAUAUACUUACAAGACAUUUAUUGCAUAGUCAAACCAUGGAUCUAGAAGAACAAUUCAAUAAGUCAAAUCAAGAUGUGCAUGUGUGGCGAGUGAGUGGUGUAUGGUGAUAACAAUGGUGAAAAUCUAAUUCUACUUUUGCUCUUUUAAGGGGAUACAUACCUUUCUUGCACUUUGAAGCUUUUUGAGGAGAAUGAGAUGCUGUAUAUUUUCUUUUUCUUUCCUCUCAGGUCGGUAUCUUGUACCCCUAAUUCUACUGUCGGACACUUGUCCAUUUUUACCUCUCGUCUCACUUUUUCUUUUCUUCGAGGUUCCGGGCACUUGCCCCUUUUUAUUUCCUCGUAUCCUUUCUCUCUUUUCUUUUUUUUUUCUUUUCUUUUUUUACUAGAGCACUCAUCUCCUGAAAUAAUAUAGCAAGUGGUAGUAACCAAGAUAACUUGAGCAUUUAUUUCACAGGGAAAAACAGAAAUAGGAGAAUGUUUUUGGCUAUUCUCUCCCGGAUUAGGAGUAGAAUACUUUUGGGUGGCUCUGGAGAUGGAAAUGAGUGGAUAUAUGUGGAUGCGUAUUUCCGGAGUAGAAGUAGCAUGUAUGAGUGAACGUGCAAGUGAAUCUUGAUUUUUAACCGCAUGACAAGCUCCUAAGGGUCUACACAGCUUGACCACACUCAAUGCUCAUAAGUAGUAAAAAGUAAAUGUGUGGCUCAAAGUCUAGCAAGCAUGUAUAUAUGGCUGUGGUAGGAAUUUAAACUCUGAUCAUAUAGGAACUCAUCAUGUGUUAUUUUAAAGAUUUUCAAAGAUAAAAUUCUUCAGAAUUCUAGCAACUCUAGGAACAGAUAAACAGCAGCUCAACCAUCCCAUAUCAUAUCCGUUAACGACUUAGACUUUAGAUCAAGUACCCUUCCCACAAGUUCAGGUUUAGAGCAAAUCUUAAUUCAUAACAGUCAUGCCUAAACUUGAGAGAGAUUUCAAUUUUGAGAACUAGUCAUGGCAGAGCAACUAUUCAUCAUUUCCAUGUGAGAGCUUAUCAUGAGGGUUCAUAGCAAACUUUAUAUAUUUAUUUAUUUAGCAAACUAAGCAAAGAUAUAUAUAUAAGCAUAGAAUUUUUAUUUGGGUUUUUAUGAUUAUGCAUCUUUUAUUAUUUGAGUAAAGUAUAAACAUGAGUAGAACACUUAGCUGGAUAAAUGGGGGUGCUCUCUCCCAAGCUGGAUUUUGACGUAAUUUCUUCUGAUGUAGCUAGCAGGUGGCAGAGGUGUAUUUGAAUGUCGGCAGCACCCUGACAGCGAUUACUAUGUCCUCCGCCGGCUAGUCUUCUUUGAUCCUUGAAUUCUGUGGAGCUCAAAUAGACAACAAAGCUUUGUGGAACUGGUUAAGUGUUAGCAUAAAAUCUCUUAGCCUUUAUCAUAUUGAGAUUCCUCCUAAUAAAUAUUACUUGGGUGGAUCAUAAAUUUUCUUUUAUAUUUUUAUUUUUAUAGGACAGGAAUAUAUUUAUUUUAUUUUUUACGCCACCACACUGAAUGUACUUAUGGGUUUUAUGCCAUGAGCAUACUCACAUGGGGCUUACUAUUUUUAACAUUUUUAUUUUCUUUUCGAGAUGAUAUGAACCUGAUUAACUAAGCAAACUAUUUUAAAUAAUUGAAGGGAAAAGGAUAACUACCAAGUUUACCUCUUGGCAAGGCGUUCGGUGUUUUGAAGUCCUCCGAACGGGACUCUCCGUUUUCUCAGUCGUCCUGGGAUUCACUGGAUGGCGUAGUCGGUGGUUCCGGCGGCGCCUCCUCUUUGUGUAUAACUAUCUUAUCUCUCCACACCUGACUCGGUGCUACGGUCUCCUCAGGACAGUUCUGUUCAAGCUGUAUGUCUUCAGACCUUACCACUUCUCCUUCGUAAUCUACCCAUCCGUCCUUGAUGAUUUGCCUCCUCUAUUUGCAUCAUCUUCUUCUUGUCCUAACCUGCUUAGAGUCUUCAACCUUUCGGAAUGUCUGAUCUGCCAUCUGGAGCUGGGUUGUCCGUGUUCAUCCUUUAGGUGCAUCAUUUGAUUAGGUGUGGACCUUGUCAUCUACACUUCUUGAUACGGUGUCACCCAUGUUCUUCGUUUGUCCAGCAGUUCGAGGUGCAGCAUUGGCAGCAUCCUCCUCAGUGUGUUUGUGCUCGUAGAUCCAAGUCCUUCACUUGGUGGAAUCUGGGAGUUGUAAAACUCCUUCAGGUUUUGCUCGAAGUGUACCUACUCAUAAAGACAAGGCAGAGAUCAAGUGUAUGGGCCGUGUUGGUGGAAAACACCAAUAGAACCAAAAGUGUAUUUGUUCUUCUCUUAACCUUAAGCAUAGUGAGCAAGACAAAGUUGAUGGAUAAUAAGAUCAUGAGUGUAGCAUUUAAAACAUUUGUCAGAUCAGAUCGAUCGACCUAAUGGAAAGAUAAUCUAUCUAUAUUUAUGUUUUGUUUAUAUCUUCCAAAGAUUGAAUGUGCAACAUUUUAGCUUGUAUGAUUAGGAGUGUGGGAUCACGAAUGUAGUACUAAUAACAAAGAUUAAAGGACUAAACAUGCUGAAUCAUUUAGGUUGGUUAAUUUAGAGUUAUAAAUCAUACAUGUUUGUCUCUUUAUUUAUGUGAACGCUAGAACCAAGGAGAAGCUUAUAAAAGUGAUAGUCGAGUACCUUAAGAUGUUAUCUUACUUGAAGAGUGAUGGUAUAGUAUCACCUUGUGGAAGCUUUCUGUAACAUCCCUGAUGUUACGGUUACUAAAAACGGAUCAUGUCAUCAUAAGCAUUGUAAAGCAUAAUUGUUAAAGCACAUUAGUAUGCAUCAACUUAAAAUAAGUUUACUUUGAUUGCUUGAGCUUAGGGAAGUAGAGUGUGCUUUUGUGGUGUGUUGUUGCUUAGGUGGUUGCUAAAACCCUAGGGUGGAAGUUUUCCGAAGAACUAGGGGGGGAAAACCCUGAUUUCUGGAUCCUAGAUUUGUCCCCUUUUUCAUAAGUCAAAAACUAAGAAAAAUUUGAGGUUGAGUUCAAAAGCAAAGUUGUAGCUCUUGGCA
This 4213-nucleotide long non-coding RNA is filed under the name Sorghum bicolor (sorghum). RNAcentral describes it as "long non-coding RNA (SBIC_LNC014099)". The record is from RNAcentral. Lineage: Eukaryota; Viridiplantae; Streptophyta; Magnoliopsida; Poales; Poaceae.